GAUGAACGCUGGCGGCGUGCCUAAUACAUGCAAGUCGAGCGAAUGGAUUAAGAGCUUGCUCUUAUGAAGUUAGCGGCGGACGGGUGAGUAACACGUGGGUAACCUGCCCAUAAGACUGGGAUAACUCCGGGAAACCGGGGCCAAUACCGGAUAACAUUUUGAACCGCAUGGUUCGAAAUUGAAAGGCGGCUUCGGCUGUCACUGAUGGAUGGACCCGGGUCGCAUUAGCUAGUUGGUGAGGUAACGGCUCACCAAGGCAACGAUGCGUAGCCGACCUGAGAGGGUGAUCGGCCACACUGGGACUGAGACACGGCCCAGACUCCUACGGGAGGCAGCAGUAGGGAAUCUUCCGCAAUGGACGAAAGUCUGACGGAGCAACGCCGCGUGAGUGAUGAAGGCUUUCGGGUCGUAAAACUCUGUUGUUAGGGAAGGACAAGUGCUAGUUGAAUAAGCUGGCACCUUGACGGUACCUAACCAGAAAGCCACGGCUAACUACGUGCCAGCCGCCGCAGUAA
RNAcentral lists this ribosomal RNA (515 nucleotides) under uncultured bacterium. RNAcentral's name for it is "partial 16S ribosomal RNA". It matches the Rfam family "Bacterial small subunit ribosomal RNA", at positions 28 to 523 of the family's 1533-position model. The record is from RNAcentral.